AUCGGACUUAGACUUGGAUUUCAUGAUCUGACCUCCAGCACUUGGCACCUUAUUUUUCUUCUCUUCUUCUUUCCUUUCUUAAAGGGAUGAUGCCUGCCUGAAGAAGAUGCUCUCACUACAUUUACCAUCUCCUUAUGGAGCUGAUGAUCUUUCUCAAAAGUUUGUAGUAAUCCCAACAGAUCGUGGUAGUUUACUAUAUGCUUCAUCAUUCGAUGAUGAUUGAGA
This 225-nucleotide long non-coding RNA is filed under the name Elaeis guineensis (African oil palm). Its description in RNAcentral is "long non-coding RNA (EGUI_LNC078400)". The record is from RNAcentral. Lineage: Eukaryota; Viridiplantae; Streptophyta; Magnoliopsida; Arecales; Arecaceae.